This 626-nucleotide ribosomal RNA is filed under the name Escherichia coli. RNAcentral describes it as "partial 23S ribosomal RNA". It matches the Rfam family "Bacterial large subunit ribosomal RNA", at positions 588 to 1215 of the family's 2925-position model. The record is from RNAcentral. Lineage: Bacteria; Pseudomonadati; Pseudomonadota; Gammaproteobacteria; Enterobacterales; Enterobacteriaceae.
GGCGUGUGACUGCGUACCUUUUGUAUAAUGGGUCAGCGACUUAUAUUCUGUAGCAAGGUUAACCGAAUAGGGGAGCCGAAGGGAAACCGAGUCUUAACUGGGCGUUAAGUUGCAGGGUAUAGACCCGAAACCCGGUGAUCUAGCCAUGGGCAGGUUGAAGGUUGGGUAACACUAACUGGAGGACCGAACCGACUAAUGUUGAAAAAUUAGCGGAUGACUUGUGGCUGGGGGUGAAAGGCCAAUCAAACCGGGAGAUAGCUGGUUCUCCCCGAAAGCUAUUUAGGUAGCGCCUCGUGAAUUCAUCUCCGGGGGUAGAGCACUGUUUCGGCAAGGGGGUCAUCCCGACUUACCAACCCGAUGCAAACUGCGAAUACCGGAGAAUGUUAUCACGGGAGACACACGGCGGGUGCUAACGUCCGUCGUGAAGAGGGAAACAACCCAGACCGCCAGCUAAGGUCCCAAAGUCAUGGUUAAGUGGGAAACGAUGUGGGAAGGCCCAGACAGCCAGGAUGUUGGCUUAGAAGCAGCCAUCAUUUAAAGAAAGCGUAAUAGCUCACUGGUCGAGUCGGCCUGCGCGGAAGAUGUAACGGGGCUAAACCAUGCACCGAAGCUGCGGCAGCGACGCU